Non-coding RNA from Vicugna pacos (alpaca), 3622 nucleotides. The record is from RefSeq and is a predicted model, not a curated record. NCBI's taxonomy places the organism in Eukaryota, Metazoa, Chordata, Mammalia, Artiodactyla, Camelidae.
AAGCUACAAACACAAAAUGUAAGGGAUUCAGACGCUUAUGCUCGAGAAGUUACAUCUCAAGUCAAUACCUGGUUUUCUGGCCUCUUUUCAUGGGUGCCUCAAGGUCUCAGACCCAUCCUUGUGGGGGUCCUGCAUUUUCUGUUAUCACAUCUGUUAACAAACGUUAGUAUAUAUAUAACAUUUAGACUAACGGUUUUCUGUUGUCUGAUGUGCGGAAAACGAACAACGAAAGCUCUUUCUGAACCCCCAGCCACAUGACAAGAUCAGGUUCACUCAUUCCAUUUCAAGGGCCAUCAAACAACACCCCCAUUCAUUCAGCAGGAAGCAGCCAGACGAACACGAUGUCCGUCUCCCUGUUUCCAUAGAAACGGAAUGAGAGAAACUGACAGUGGGGAUUUUGAAGGAGAAAUAAUAAAAUGGCCGCACUUAGGCUGAGAGGUUCUUGGCUUUAUGCUUGCUGUUUGCUCUUAGAACAGUCAGCAAAUGACUGAUCAGUUACUCCUCACAGCCCCAGGCCCAUUUAAAGCUGUUGAUUUUACUGUUUCUACUUUAUCCUGGUGAUCAGAGUUAUGAUCAUGCUUGGCUUCUGAGUUGUUCUCUAGGAAAAAGGUCACCCGACUGUAACUUUACAAAAUAGCCUGAAUUACCAAGAAGACCACACCUGGAGCACUUACAAGAAGAGGUGGAAAGAGCGACAGCCACUGGCCUCUGCAGAACUGGUCGCCUGGAGGCACCAUGACGCCACUGUGAGUCUUACGAAAAGUGAAUAAUUCUGUUGAUUGUUACUGAUGCCUCAUUGUUUAAGCUAUGUUUAUAUAAUCACCAAGCCCCGACCCCAAAAGGGGCUCCCAGUUUUGAAAGCCCUAGCCUGCUGUGAGGCUCUUUUGCCUGGCAAAGCAACUAAGCUGCCUCUUUUCUUCUAAGCUCCAAGACCCAGUCUCUGAGUUAUUUGACUCGUCAGGGAUGGGGGCCGAUACUUCGGUAAGACCUCUACUUGAAAUUUGCAGGGAAGGGAACCUGAUUUUGGCAAACUCGGCCUACCUCUGAAUGAAUGGAUGGCUCCAGGGUUAAAACAUUUGUGUCUUCCUCUCAAAAUUAAUUUGCAGUGUAAGACAACCUACAGUCUUUGGCCACAGAACAUUCCACCCCUCUUUGCAGGCAGCCUCAGUGGUUUGGGCUUCUCCUAGAUGCUGGAAAACAACUGUGAGUUACUGAGGAAGCAGAUUACACUAAUGUCUAUUGCAAAAGUCAAUUUUCAUAGCAGCUGUUAGGGUGAUUAUGAUAAGAGUAGGCUGAUAAUCGGGUUUAUGCUAACAGAUCAAUCUGUAAAAGGAUGGCAGAGAUGAUUGGGAAAGAGCCUGCGUGAGGGUGCAGACAGAGGUGAACCUCUGUGUACCCAGCCCCGUCAUCGGGAAGCAGAGACAAGGAAAAGGGAGCGAACGGCUGUACCCUUGGCUUCCCCCCUGGGCAGGUUCCAGAUGACAGCAUUCAGCCUGCAGUCAGAACAGACAAGCAAGCACAUUUCAAGGCAGUCUCAGCCCCCACAGCCUGACAACUUUGUGAGCUCUCAGAUUUCCCACACGGUCUUCCUAGAAGUGAAAUGGGGGAAAGGGGAUUGGCUAACAGGGAGGCUAAGCCUCCCUGACUCCUGGCUCCCCCGUGGGGCUGACUCAGAAGCACUAAACAAAAAUGCGAGCGGGACUUGUGUGCGCAUCUACCAGGUGCGGGCAGGGGAGGUCUAAGAAUAAAUGUGAUUAUUCAACAUUAAAAAAAAAACUAAUACAACAUUGUAAAUCAACUAUACUUCAAUUAAAAAAAAGUAUCAUGUAUAACUGAAAAAUUGUGCUGUACACUGGAAUUUGACACAACAUUGUAAAAUGACUAUAACUCAAUAAAAAAAAAGUUUAAAAAGAAAAGUAAAACACAAAAAGCAGCCCAGAAUCUCAGCUCUACUGUUUGUCCUGAACCCACUUUCCUGUGGUUUCUUAUUUCUUAGUUACAGUGCAGAAUUAUUUUUGCAAAAAUGGGGUUAGCCUAUGAGAAAACACUGUUUGCUCUAAAAAUAACUGACAUUCAGCAGAAUCUACUGGGUGUAAUGUACCCACUGUGCCUUUACCUUCCCCCCAGCCCCAGUGGCUUUCCCACCUUUAGACUCUGAGUUCUCCCUACCUUUCCUUAUCAAAACAAACAAAAGAUCAGAGAUCACUAUUUUCACUUUAAGUGAAAUUCAUGUACACCAAUGUAGUAAUUAAUGCUUUUUAGUUUCUAGGCUUCUGCAAUCAGAAGACACUUUCUGCAAAACAAGUGGCUCCAUUUCCUAUUAAACUAAUAUUGCUUCCAUGCCAGGCAGAUGGGAAAGGAAUGAGGAUGGGGGAACUGAAGGAGAGACAUAAGAAGUCUUCCUUGUUCUGAACUGUCAGCGCCCAAGACUGGCCCCAGUACUAAGCCAGCCCACCACCCAUCCAUGCGUUCAGAAAACCAGUCACUCACCAGCCAGGAAAUCUACAUGAUCUCCUGUGCUGCUCACAAGAAUUGACUGGGGUGGAUUCUAUGACUGUCCCCACUUUACAGACAUGGAAACUGAGGCACAGAGAGAGUUCAGUUAACACAGAUGUACAGCUAAUAAAUGGAGGAACAGGGACAUGCACGUAGGGGGGGUCUGACCCCACACCUGCUCCCCAACCACUGCACACGGCAGCAUGUUGGGUUUCCCUUUCCUUUCCCUUCUCUUCAACUGCAGCCAGAAUCAAUGUUCCAAAAGGCAAAAUUGGCCAUGCCUCUCCCCAGGCUUAAAAAACACUUCAGCGGUUUCCCCGUGCCCUUGGCCAAGCCCAGACUUGUUGGUUUGACCAGAUCCUGCUACCUCUCCCCUCCCCUGGAACAUUCUCCUGCAUCUACUCUGUCCUCCAGACACACAGACUCCGCUCAGUUUCCUCAGAUGAGCCUCACUAGGUCUGCCCUCCCAGACCUCCCACAUCACCCUUCCCUCCUCUGCAUCUCUCCGGUCCUGCGCAUCCUCCAGAAGGCCUUUGUGGAGGAAGGAGCACACUGAAGACAUCCUCCUGCUCCGUCCCCUGAGAACCCCAGACACCCCAGCCAGAGCAGUCACCACACCUGAUUAUCAAAGAAGUAGAAAUGGAGAUUAAGUAAUUAACAGAUGACCAGAUCUCCCUAGCUUCUCCUUCAGAACAAACUGUGUGAACAAACUGAGCAAGACUGCGUCUAAAGAAAGAUCAGAAGGCCACAAGCCUGACAGCCUAUCUCAACGAUUAAAUGAGAUUGCUUCCCUUUCUCCCUUUAAAAACUCUCCUGACUGAGCGGAGCAGAAUCUUCGGUGAUGGUUUUCGGGGGACACUGCGUCCACCAUCUCCCCCCAUGGCCAGCGUUCUGAUUAAGAGUUACCCUCCUUCCCACCUACUGUGUCUCCCUCAGGGACUGACUUUUGAGCGGCGAGCAGCCGGACCUGAGUUGGGUCAGAGGUACCUAUCAUGCACUGACGCCAUGAUGCUUCUGAUCCAGACUAAUUAAGGACAAAAAUCCAUCCUCCCUUUGGGAAGGUGGAGUUGGGAUGAUAAUCAGGAAUUACGACCCCAAGCCCUUCCCUCCUCAAUGAAUAUUCUGC